This 253-nucleotide ribosomal RNA is filed under the name uncultured Acidobacteriota bacterium. Its description in RNAcentral is "uncultured Acidobacteria bacterium partial 16S ribosomal RNA". It matches the Rfam family "Bacterial small subunit ribosomal RNA", at positions 524 to 776 of the family's 1533-position model. The record is from RNAcentral. Lineage: Bacteria; Pseudomonadati; Acidobacteriota.
GACAGAGGGGGCAAGCGUUGUCCGGAUUUACUGGGCGUACAGCGCGCGCAGGCGGCCGCGUAUGUGACCGGUGACAGCCUCGGGCUCAACUCGAGGUGGUCUGGUUACACAGCGGGGCUGGAGGCAGGGAGAGGGAUGUGGAAUACCCGGUGGAGCGGUGAAAUGCGUAGAGAUCGGGUGGAACACCAGUGGCGAAGGCGGCAUCCUGGCCCUGACCUGACGCUGAGGCGCGAGAGCGUGGGGAGCAAACGGG